RNAcentral lists this non-coding RNA (47 nucleotides) under Streptomyces scopuliridis RB72. RNAcentral describes it as "L31-Actinobacteria ribosomal protein leader". It matches the Rfam family "L31-Actinobacteria ribosomal protein leader". The record is from RNAcentral. Lineage: Bacteria; Bacillati; Actinomycetota; Actinomycetes; Kitasatosporales; Streptomycetaceae.
UCGGUCCCGGUUCACGCACGCGCACUCCGUACGUGCGACCCGGUGCC